UACAGAGGUCUCAAGCGUUGUUCGGAUUCAUUGGGCGUAAAGGGUGCGUAGGUGGCGCGGUAAGUCGGGUGUGAAAUCUCGGAGCUUAACUCCGAAACUGCAUUCGAUACUGCCGUGCUUGAGGACUGGAGAGGAGACUGGAAUUUACGGUGUAGCGGUGAAAUGCGUAGAUAUCGUAAGGAAGACCAGUGGCGAAGGCGGGUCUCUGGACAGUUCCUGACGCUGAGGCACGAAGGCCAGGGGAGCAAACGGG
This 253-nucleotide ribosomal RNA is filed under the name uncultured bacterium. Its description in RNAcentral is "partial 16S ribosomal RNA". It matches the Rfam family "Bacterial small subunit ribosomal RNA", at positions 524 to 776 of the family's 1533-position model. The record is from RNAcentral.